AGCAGCCGCGGUAAUUCCAGCUCCAAUAGCGUAUAUUAAAGUUGUUGCAGUUAAAAAGCUCGUAGUUGAAUUUCGGGAUUGACACAUCGGUCGUGCCUUAAGGGGUAUGAACUGGUGUAGUCAAUUUCUCACCUUCUGGAGAACCGCGAUGCCCUUAAUUGGGUGCCGCGGGGAACCAGGACCUUUACUUUGAAAAAUUAGAGUGUUUAAAGCAGGCAUUUUGCUUGAAUACAUUAGCAUGGAAUAAUAAAAUAGGACGGCAUGAUUCUAUUUUGUUGGUUUCUAGGAUCACCGUAAUGAUUAAUAGGGAUAGUUGGGGGCAUUAGUAUUCAAUUGUCAGAGGUGAAAUUCUUGGAUUUAUUGAAGACUAACUACUGCGAAAGCAUUUGCCAAGGAUGUUUUCAUUAAUCAAGAACGAAAGUUAGGGGAUCGAAGACGAUCAGAUACCGUCGUAGUCUUAACCAUAAACUAUGCCGACUAGGAAUCAGACGAUGUUAAUUUUUAAUGACUCGUUUGGCAC
Molecule: unclassified non-coding RNA, 520 nt
Filed under: uncultured Entrophospora
Lineage: Eukaryota; Fungi; Glomeromycota; Glomeromycetes; Entrophosporales; Entrophosporaceae
Description: SSU rRNA
Rfam family: Eukaryotic small subunit ribosomal RNA
Source: RNAcentral